GAUGAACGCUGGCGGCGUGCCUAAUACAUGCAAGUCGAGCGAACGGACGAGAAGCUUGCGUCUCUGAUGUUAGCGGCGGACGGGUGAGUAACACGUGGAUAACCUACCUAUAAGACUGGGAUCACUUCGGGAAACCGGAGCUAAUACCGGAUGAUAUUUUGAACCGUAUGGUUCAAUAGUGAAAGACGGUCUUGCUGUCACUUAUAGAUGCAUCCGCGCUGCAUUAGCUAGUUGGUAAGGUAACGGCUUACCAAGGCGACGAUGCAUAGCCGACCUGGGAGGGUGAUCGGCCACACUGGAGCGGGGCCGCGGUCCUGACGCCUAAGGGAGGCAGCAGUAGGGAAUCGUCCGCAGUGGGCGAAGGCCUGGCGGAGCAACGCCGCGUGAGUGAUGGAGGUGUUCGGAUCGUAAAACUCGGUUAUGAGGGAAGAACAGAUGUGUAAGGAGCUGUGCACAUCUUGACGGUAACGAAUCAGAAAGCAACGGCUAACUACGUG
Molecule: ribosomal RNA, 497 nt
Filed under: uncultured bacterium
Lineage: Bacteria
Description: partial 16S ribosomal RNA
Rfam family: Bacterial small subunit ribosomal RNA
Source: RNAcentral